AACGUACGCUGGCGGCACGCCUAACACAUGCAAGUCGAACGCAGUAGCAAUACUGAGUGGCAAACGGGUGAGUAUAAUGUGGGAAUCUGCCUUUUGGUUUGGAAUAACACGGGGAAACUUGUGCUAAUACCGAAUAAGCCCUUACGGGGAAAGUUUUAAUGCCGAAAGAUGAGCCCGCACUUGAUUAGCUAGUUGGUAAGGUAAAAGCUUACCAAGGCAACGAUCAAUAGCUGUUCUUAGAGGAAGACCAGCCACAUUGGGACUGAGACACGGCCCAGACUCCUACGGGAGGCAGCAGUGGGGAAUCUUGCACAAUGGGGGAAACCCUGAUGCAGCGAUGCCGCGUGAGUGAAGAAGGCCCUUGGGUUGUAAAACUCUUUCGUCGGGGAAGAAAAUGACUGUACCCGAAUAAGAAGGUCCGGCUAACUUCGUGCCAGCAGCCGCGGUAAUACGAAGGGACCUAGCGUAGUUCGGAAUUACUGGGCUUAAAGAGCUCGUAGGUGGUUAAAAAAGUUGAUGGUGAAAUCCCAAGGCUCAACCUUGGAACUGCCAUCAAAACUUUUUAGCUAGAGUGUGAUAGAGGUAAGUGGAAUUUCUAGUGUAGAGGUGAAAUUCGUAGAUAUUAGAAAGAACACCAAAUGCGAAGGCAACUUACUGGGUCACUACUGACACUGAGGAGCGAAAGCAUGGGUAGCGAAGAGGAUUAGAUACCCUCGUAGUCCAUGCCGUAAACGAUGAGUGCUAGACGUUGGAGAUAUAUUUUUCAGUGUCGCAGCGAAAGCAUUAAGCACUCCGCCUGGGGAGUACGACCGCAAGGUUAAAACUCAAAUGAAUUGACGG
This 840-nucleotide ribosomal RNA is filed under the name uncultured Alphaproteobacteria bacterium. RNAcentral describes it as "bacterial SSU rRNA". It matches the Rfam family "Bacterial small subunit ribosomal RNA", at positions 28 to 916 of the family's 1533-position model. Lineage: Bacteria; Pseudomonadati; Pseudomonadota; Alphaproteobacteria. The record is from RNAcentral.